GGAUUGGCUCAGUGGUAGAGUGCUUGCCUCACAGGCAUGAGGCCCUGGGUUCAAUUCCUCAGCUCCA
Molecule: transfer RNA, 67 nt
Filed under: Dipodomys ordii (Ord's kangaroo rat)
Lineage: Eukaryota; Metazoa; Chordata; Mammalia; Rodentia; Heteromyidae
Rfam family: tRNA
About the family: Transfer RNA (tRNA) molecules are approximately 80 nucleotides in length. Their secondary structure includes four short double-helical elements and three loops (D, anti-codon, and T loops).
Source: Rfam by way of RNAcentral